Gossypium hirsutum (cotton) is the source of this 145-nucleotide non-coding RNA. The record is from Rfam. Lineage: Eukaryota; Viridiplantae; Streptophyta; Magnoliopsida; Malvales; Malvaceae.
UGUUAAAAAAUUCAUCUAUUUGUACUAUUAAAAACUGACGUGGCUAAUAGAAUAAUCAAACAAUGAUACGUGGCGUGCCACGUGUCACUCAUACUGACAUACAAGGACCGGUUUUUAACGGUAGAAAUAGAUGAAAAUUUUAACA